RNAcentral lists this ribosomal RNA (253 nucleotides) under uncultured Pedobacter sp. RNAcentral's name for it is "partial 16S ribosomal RNA". It matches the Rfam family "Bacterial small subunit ribosomal RNA", at positions 524 to 776 of the family's 1533-position model. The record is from RNAcentral. Lineage: Bacteria; Pseudomonadati; Bacteroidota; Sphingobacteriia; Sphingobacteriales; Sphingobacteriaceae.
UACGGAGGAUCCAAGCGUUAUCCGGAUUUAUUGGGUUUAAAGGGUGCGUAGGCGGCUUUUUAAGUCAGAGGUGAAAGACGGUGGCUCAACCAUCGCAGUGCCUUUGAUACUGAAGAGCUUGAAUGAACUAGAGGUAGGCGGAAUGUGACAAGUAGCGGUGAAAUGCAUAGAUAUGUCACAGAACACCAAUUGCGAAGGCAGCUUACUAUGGUUUAAUUGACGCUGAGGCACGAAAGCGUGGGGAUCAAACAGG